GAAUUAAACUCCAAGUUUUGAAGGAUAUGUAAGAAAUGUUUGAAAAUGAGUAAGUUUCCCCAAACAUUUCUUACAAAUCCUUCAAAACUUAGAAUUUAUCAA
Paramuricea clavata is the source of this 102-nucleotide non-coding RNA. The record is from the annotation of a GenBank genome assembly. Lineage: Eukaryota; Metazoa; Cnidaria; Anthozoa; Malacalcyonacea; Plexauridae.